UUGUCACAUAACCCAUAUGCUGAUGAUAAAGUUUGUUGUAUGAGCUUGUGGCAUACUGAUCAGACAGGUGGCAGGUAUGCAUUCAGAUGUUGCAGCUCUAAGGAAGGGUAGUAUAUGGCACAUGGCUUCGUGGGUUGUUCAACAAGAAGUGUUUUGGGCAUAUUCGAAAGGCAAUCUUGUGAAAAUUAUAGAUCGAUUUUCUUAUUCCGUCAUCAGCUUCUAUUGAUAUGAGCGAUACAAAAAGUUCAGCACUGAAUUUUAGUAUGUUAACUUGCAAGAUUUCUCACGACUAUGUUUUUUUGUUAUAGGUUUAUAAAUUUCGAAAUAUAGUUGCAGCUUCACGGAAUGGACGGCCCAAAUUAUGUUAGUGUCUAUAUGUUUACUUGGUGGUGGUCUAGCGUGAGUGACACCUGCAUCUGUAACUUACCCAUUGGAUGUUCUUCGAAAUCACCUGACAACACAGAAAACCACUAGGUAUUACAAGGGCAUCUUUCACACGUUGUCUACAAUUUGUAGAGAAGAGAAUAGUAGAGGAUUGUAUAAAGGCCUUUGGUCCACCUUAUUGUAUCAUUUUUUGUCAAGAAACUGAGAAGACGGAAGAGAGUUGGUGUUGUCAGUGUGGUGAGCCUAUGCGGCAACCACAAGGCUGAAGUCUGCUUUGAUCGUUAUUCAAGAUUUGAGCCUUGGCUCCGGUUUUGAUAGCUCUAUAUCAACUUUCAGCGAGUUUUUGUUCUCGGACUUGGGAUCCACAGUCCAAAGUUGAUUGGUGGAUCAAGUGAACUAGGUGC
Long non-coding RNA from Triticum dicoccoides, 788 nucleotides. RefSeq lists it as uncharacterized. The record is from RefSeq and is a predicted model, not a curated record. The transcript is spliced from 4 exons. NCBI's taxonomy places the organism in Eukaryota, Viridiplantae, Streptophyta, Magnoliopsida, Poales, Poaceae.